GGGACUUUAGCUCAGUUGGUAGAGCCACUCCACCAAAGGAGAAGGACAGGGGUUCGAUUCCCUUAAGUCCCA
RNAcentral lists this transfer RNA (72 nucleotides) under Corynebacterium sp. RNAcentral's name for it is "tRNA-Trp". It matches the Rfam family "tRNA". Rfam says of the family: Transfer RNA (tRNA) molecules are approximately 80 nucleotides in length. Their secondary structure includes four short double-helical elements and three loops (D, anti-codon, and T loops). The record is from RNAcentral. Lineage: Bacteria; Bacillati; Actinomycetota; Actinomycetes; Mycobacteriales; Corynebacteriaceae.